Long non-coding RNA from Sapajus apella (tufted capuchin), 1435 nucleotides. RefSeq lists it as uncharacterized. The transcript is spliced from 3 exons. Lineage: Eukaryota; Metazoa; Chordata; Mammalia; Primates; Cebidae. The record is from RefSeq and is a predicted model, not a curated record.
GUGGGAGCCAAACACUGAGAACACAUGGGCACAAAGAGAGGAACAACAGACCCUGGGGCCUACUUGAAGGCAGAAGUUGGGAGGAGGGAAAGGAUCAGAAAAAAAUAGUUAUUGGCUACUGUGUUUAGUACCUGGGUGAGGAAAUUAUCUGUAUACCAAACCCCUGUGACACAGGCUUACCUACAUAACAAACCUGCAAGUGUACCUUGGAACCUAAAAUAAACUAUAAAAAGUGUAAAGGAAAAUAAUCCUCAUAAAUUGGAUUAAUGCUCUUAGAAAAGAGGCCUGAGAGAUAUCCCUCGCCCCUUCUACCACAUGACAAUGCAGCGAGAAGAUGGUUAUCUGUGAACCAGAAAGCCCUCACCAGACGCCGAGUCUACCAGGACCUUGGUCUUGGACUUGCUGCUUCCGUAACUGUGGGAAAUAAGGUUUGGUUUGAAAGCUGCCCAGUUUAUGGCAUUUUGCUCUAGCAGCCCAAUGGACUGAGACACUGUUUUCUAUGGAGGCGAAGGCAGGUUGCAGAGCACACACAGGCCUGGCUCCGGGAGGGACGCCUCACACCUUACACACACCAUCUUCAAUCCUUGCAACCUCCAGUGACACUGAAAGGCUGCCCAUUUCACAGUUGAGGAAACUGAGGCUCAGAGUGGUUAAGAAGCCUCAUGACAUCACCCAGCCAGUUCAUCCAGGAGGCCAGGCUUGAAUUCUGACUCCCAGGCUCUCUCCAGUCUCUGUACUCUAGCCCCACUCUUGCAUGAUAACACUGAUUUUCCCUCCACAGCGGGGGACGAUAGAGAACAGAGGUGAGGCCCUUCAAACCCACCUGGGGAAACAGGGGUCCUGGGCAGGGUCUAUGCUGACACAGCAGAAGCCUGAGAGGACCUUGGCGUUGGUGAACAGGCAGUGCCAGGCUCAGAGAACAAACUGGGGUAACCUACCAGCAAGGCACCCCUGCCUUCCACUUUCAGGACAAAGUUCAAUGGCGCUAGAGGAAUUUCCUUAAUUAAAAGCUGAUAUCAGAACAUUGUCCUGGUCUCUGGCUAGGGUCCAUGUGCAGCCAAACUCCUGCUGGUGACUGCUGACAACCUGGGCCAGCCCCUGGCACAUGCACAGGCUGGUAGGGGUUUGCCCCUGGCUUCCUCCUCCCCAUGCUUCUUCCCUCCACCCUCCCAGCUUAAGCACUAAGUUCUCUGACCCUCUCUAAAAGGGCCCCAAUUCAGGUUACAGUUGUAAUUGACCUUCAGUGGAAUGUAGGAACUUUCUCAGGAAGGGUUGCAUCUCUUCAGGGAUCAAGAGCAGAAGCCAGGGAAAGGAAUGCUCCUGGAUGAAUUUCAGGACUGGCUCAUAGGACGGAGGUGGUGUGAGGGGCAUCCAGUCCUGCAGGGAGUUUUGGGCCCACACAGUGCCCAGCAAGGGAUCCCUGAUCUGCCACCCA